UUGAGAGUUUGAUCCUGGCUCAGAACGAACGCUGGCGGCAGGCCUAACACAUGCAAGUCGAACGCUCUCUUCGGAGGGAGUGGCGCACGGGUGAGUAACGCGUGGGAACCUGCCCUGGGGCCGGGAAUAACCGCUGGAAACGGCGGCUAAUACCCUAUACGCCCUUUGGGGGAAAGAUUUAUCGCCCUGGGAUGGGCCCGCGUCGGAUUAGGUAGUUGGUGUGGUAAGAGCGCACCAAGCCUGCGAUCCGUAGCUGGUCUGAGAGGAUGAUCAGCCACACUGGGACUGAGACACGGCCCAGACUCCUACGGGAGGCAGCAGUGGGGAAUAUUGGACAAUGGGGGCAACCCUGAUCCAGCCAUGCCGCGUGGGUGAAGAAGGCCCUAGGGUUGUAAAGUCCUUUCGAUGGUGAAGAUAAUGACGGUAACCAUACAAGAAGCCCCGGCUAAUUUCGUGCCAGCAGCCGCGGUAAUACGAAAGGGGCUAGCGUUGUUCGGA
RNAcentral lists this ribosomal RNA (498 nucleotides) under uncultured alveolate. RNAcentral describes it as "partial Bacterial small subunit ribosomal RNA". It matches the Rfam family "Bacterial small subunit ribosomal RNA", at positions 1 to 549 of the family's 1533-position model. The record is from RNAcentral.